Melanotaenia boesemani (Boeseman's rainbowfish) is the source of this 131-nucleotide long non-coding RNA. RefSeq lists it as uncharacterized. Lineage: Eukaryota; Metazoa; Chordata; Actinopteri; Atheriniformes; Melanotaeniidae. The transcript has 2 exons. The record is from RefSeq and is a predicted model, not a curated record.
UCUAAACCCAUAAAAAUAAAGUUAGCUUUAUUAAAUUUUAGGUCAUUAGCAGGAAACAUUUUACUUAGUGAUUUUAUCUCUGAGCACAAAGUUUUAAGAGAGAGCAAAAUUAUAUUUGAGUAUGAAAACAA